Molecule: unclassified non-coding RNA, 23 nt
Filed under: Mus musculus (house mouse)
Lineage: Eukaryota; Metazoa; Chordata; Mammalia; Rodentia; Muridae
Description: oocyte_clustered_small_RNA8422
Source: RNAcentral
AGGUCGACUCCUCUACCUCUGCA